RNAcentral lists this ribosomal RNA (165 nucleotides) under Tabebuia chrysotricha. Its description in RNAcentral is "5.8S ribosomal RNA". It matches the Rfam family "5.8S ribosomal RNA". From Rfam's summary of the family: 5.8S ribosomal RNA (5.8S rRNA) is a component of the large subunit of the eukaryotic ribosome. It is transcribed by RNA polymerase I as part of the 45S precursor that also contains 18S and 28S rRNA. Functionally, it is thought that 5.8S rRNA may be involved in ribosome translocation. The record is from RNAcentral. Lineage: Eukaryota; Viridiplantae; Streptophyta; Magnoliopsida; Lamiales; Bignoniaceae.
UAACGACUCUCGGCAACGGAUAUCUCGGCUCUCGCAUCGAUAAAAAAACAUAGCGAAAUGCGAUACUUGGUGUGAAUUGCAGAAUCCCGUGAACCAUAGAGUCUUUGAACGCAAAUUGGCCCCGAAGCCGUUAGGCCGAGGGCACGUUUGCCUGGGCGUUUUGCA